This is a long non-coding RNA of Cyprinus carpio carpio, 2745 nucleotides long. The record is from Ensembl. NCBI's taxonomy places the organism in Eukaryota, Metazoa, Chordata, Actinopteri, Cypriniformes, Cyprinidae.
CAUUAUAAUUGUCCCUGCUUUUCUGAGUUUGUGGAAAGUUAAAUCAGAGUCUUCAGACGAACAAAUGCUGGAGCACAAACAGAAAGUAAUGAGAGUCAGCAACUGUGCACAGAAAUGACUCUGUCUGUGCUUUUGUGUGUAUUUGUGUCUUCAGAUGGAAAAUAAGUGCCUCAAAGUAAGAGAGAUGGAAAGUUCAUUUCACAUUUUGACAUUUUCACAUGACAGAAUAUAUGUGUUUAUGUAGUUCAUGUUUAAUGACAAAACCCCCUAAAAUUAAUAAGGUCAUUUAAUAUCGUGUAUCAUUUUGGCCAGACAUAUUGAUAUCCAUUUGGAAGAACCCUGGAUCAAAUUAUACAACACAGAAACAGCCAUGUAAGGGCAGGCUUUAGAAAACAAAAGUGACUCCAGUUUUAAGUAUUUUUAAAGCUGGAGAGUGAAAAGUUGAAAGAAAUCCAAAAGAAAUUUGAACUCAAAAAAUAUUAAAUUUUUUAAAUGUGAAUACAUCCUUUAUGGGUCUUCGAAGGAACUAGUGAAAAUGGCUUACCUAACUUUGAGAUUCUUGUUGCUGUACUUCAUUCUAAAAGGUGGGUUAACAAUCUUAUAUUAAACAUUUUUGUUUUAUAUACACUAUACAGAUUAAAUGCUCACUUAUUGCUUUAUUUGAACAAAAUUUACCUUCUCUGCACUCUUUUGUCCUAUAUAUUUAUCUGUACUCAUUCUGUCAUUUUAACCAAUUACUUUUUGACUGAAAUCUCACUGAUUAUGUGGGCUUAUCUAUUCCCCAUUACCCACAGUGACUGCCAUAAAGCUCUGGUCUCCUCCCGGAUGGAUGAUUAAAAUGCCAUGUCAAUAUGAAUAUGAGGCUCAAGGAAGUAUCCAGCAGUUGUCCCUACAGUGGAGAAGCCCCAGGAACCAGCUCCUCUGUCACCUGAUCAAGCACAAAACGUACAGCAACUGCACAGCUGGAUAUUCAGUGCACUACAACCCAGGGAAUAUUACUCUCAUCAUCGCUGAGGUGAGGCAGGAGGACUUUGGGAGGCAUGUGUGUUCUGUGAGCAAGCUUCAUGAAUUCUCAGACUUCAGCAUUGAAUUAUACCAGAAGGAAGAUCUCUCUGCUGAAUUACCAAAAGGCAAGGUAGAUCAGUCAGGUACAGUAUGUAAUUGUAUUCACUUAAUUGAGAAUUUCAAUUCAAAGAGCAUUAAUGAAAUUUCAUGGGUAGUUUUUGAGAUGAUAUUAGUUUAUUCAUUGAGUACCUAACUCUUACCCACAGGUUCUGCAAAGGAUCAUUUCUUCCUUCUUGGGUGCAGUCUUUUUGUAUCCAUGUUUGGGUAAUAGGACAAGAAUAAUGUUCAUCAUUACAAUAAUGAUCACCAGACUAAUGUUUCAUAUUAGAUGCCAUAUAUUCUGAGAUAGCAAUUACCUGGGAUUUAUACAGUCCAAAAAUAAGAAGUCAAUGUUUUAUUAUUGUUAUUUUUUUCAUAACAGUACCACUGGAUGGCAGUAUACUCAUAAAUAUCACUGAAACACAUUUUUUAAGCUACAAGGCCUAAAGUAGCCUACUUUAUAUAUAAAAUAAUAUAUAUAUAUAUAUAUAUAUAUAUAUAUAUAUAUAUAUAUAUAUAUAAAACAACAUAACACAAACACUACAAAAUGCAUUGCAUCAUUCAAAAUAAUGGAAAAAAAACACCUGUGGAAAAUCAAUAUGGAAAAUUCUAUCACAUCAGCAUGGUACAUUGGGCCCUAUUUUAUAGACUUUUCUUGGAAUGUCAUUUAUUUAUUUUAAAAUUAGAAUGGGUAUAAGAUUUAAGUUCUUUCGGACCUAUCAACCAAGUUGCUUUGUGCAUCAUUGUUGUCACUCAUUCAGAAUGCACAGUGUGUUUAUGCAUGUGCAUGUUUAAAUGUGUUAAUAGUGGGGGUGUGUAAUGCCAAAUCAGCAUGUCAAUUAAAUGACAAAAUAAAUACAACAAAACAAAGGUUUUAAAAUACAGAGUGACAUGUUGUGUACCAAGUUAUUUGCCUUUUUGAUGUUUGAUUGAUGCUUCUUUAAUCAGAAUUAAUCUAGGAUGUGAUGAAGUGACACUUCCAGAAUGAACACUGAGCAGCGCUCAUCUUUACAGACACAUUGGCUAGUAUCCAUUAUAGGGAUCUGUGACAUGAGCUUGCAUAAAAGAUUUUCACACAUGUAUGUGUGCCUGAAGGAUUCUGGACUGACAUGUCUGCCUCCUUUUCAAAGACAGUUCAGCCUUAGAGCAUUUAAUGUUCAACUUGCUAUUUUAGUCAAAGUCAUACAACAUAAUAAGGACACUGAUAGCUGGACACAAUGACAGUUGUGUAUAUGUUUAUAUAUUAAGAUGCUGUAACAAUAAAUCAAGUUCUCAUUGUUAUAAUUUAAUUAUGGCUAAUGUAAAUAUAGUAAAUUCUUAGUUAAUAAGUAUUUUGAAUUGUAUAUUAUAUAUUUAAAAAUGUAUAAAGGAGCAAAUGUGCUUGUAUAACAAGAAUGAAGAAGAAGAAAAAAGAUGCACCAGUAGUUGUACAUGUUUAACUGGAAUUAAGCAUGCCAUUUGAGAUACAGUGCUCUAAAGUUAGCUUUUAUUUUAAACUGUCAGCACAGGAUAAUACAUUAGGCUAUGACCUACAAAUUAAGGGUAUGUUUUUUUUAAAACUGUGGUGGUGCCAUGUUACACUGAUGGAAUCAGAUGAUGCCAUACUUUAACAGGCUUACUACUGUGUGGUACUUAAUCUUU